This 547-nucleotide ribosomal RNA is filed under the name uncultured bacterium. Its description in RNAcentral is "bacterial SSU rRNA". It matches the Rfam family "Bacterial small subunit ribosomal RNA", at positions 37 to 571 of the family's 1533-position model. The record is from RNAcentral.
UGGCGGCAUGCUUAACACAUGCAAGUCGAACGGCAGCAUGUACUUUCUUCGGAUAGUAUGAUGGCGAGUGGCGGACGGGCGAGUAACGCGUAGGAAUCUACCUAAUAGUGGGGGACAACCUGGGGAAACCUAGGCUAAUACCGCAUAAUCUCUUAGGAGCAAAGCUGGGGACCUUUUGGCCUGGCGCUGUUAGAUGAGCCUGCGUAAGAUUAGCUAGUUGGUAAGGUAAUGGCUUACCAAGGCGACGAUCUUUAGCUGGUUUGAGAGGAUGAUCAGCCACACUGGGACUGAGACACGGCCCAGACUCCUACGGGAGGCAGCAGUGGGGAAUAUUGGACAAUGGGCGAAAGCCUGAUCCAGCAAUGCCGCGUGUGCGAUGAAGGCCUUCGGGUCGUAAAGCACUUUCAAUGGGGAGGAAAACCACAGAAUUAAUACCUCUGUGGCUUGACGUUAUCCAUACAAGAAGCACCGGCUAACUCUGUGCCAGCAGCCGCGGUAAUACAGAGGGUGCAAGCGUUAAUCGGAGUUACUGGGCGUAAAGCGCACG